UUUUAUUGGUCCCUUUUACCAAACUUUGAUGUAAUUACACACUUUUGUUCUUAUUAAUUUGUAUAAAUGCAAUUAGAUUUAAUUUAUUUUGUUUUGAAUAGUUAUUUCACAGAUUUUUCAGUUUUGUAGAACUUUUGGUUGAAAAAGCUUUUGGAAUGCAACACCACAUCUUGGAUGAAGCUUGCAAAACAAGGAAGCUAGAUAAGCAUCAGUUUGCGCCGCGAACUGCCUUCGCGCCGCGAAGGCUGCGAAUCUAGCAAGCUGAUUAAGG
This 271-nucleotide long non-coding RNA is filed under the name Lathyrus oleraceus (garden pea). RNAcentral's name for it is "Pisum sativum (pea) long non-coding RNA (PSAT_LNC020647)". Lineage: Eukaryota; Viridiplantae; Streptophyta; Magnoliopsida; Fabales; Fabaceae. The record is from RNAcentral.